This 487-nucleotide ribosomal RNA is filed under the name uncultured bacterium. RNAcentral's name for it is "bacterial SSU rRNA". It matches the Rfam family "Bacterial small subunit ribosomal RNA", at positions 28 to 524 of the family's 1533-position model. The record is from RNAcentral.
GACGAACGCUGGCGGCGUGCUUAACACAUGCAAGUCGAACGAGGUCCACUGCGUAGCAAUACAAGGGAAGACCUAGUGGCGAACGGGUGCGUAACACGUGAGGAACUUGUCCCGGUCUCUGGGAUAACAGUUGGAAACGACUGCUAAUACCGGAUGACGUCGGAAUCUCGCAUGGGAUACUGACGAAAGGGUUACUGGAUCGGGAGAGCCUCGCGGCCUAUCAGCUUGUUGGUGAGGUAACGGCUCACCAAGGCAUCGACGGGUAGCUGGUCUGAGAGGAUGAUCAGCCACACUGGGACUGAGACACGGCCCAGACUCCUACGGGAGGCAGCAGUGGGGAAUCUUGCGCAAUGGGCGAAAGCCUGACGCAGCAACGCCGCGUGCGGGAAGAAGGCCCUCGGGGUUGUAAACCGCUUUCAGUAGGAACGAAAAUGACGGUACCUGCAGAAGAAGGUGCGGCCAACUACGUGCCAGCAGCCGCGGUAAU